UUAAGCGACUAAGCGUACACGGUGGAUGCCCUGGCAGUCAGAGGCGAUGAAGGACGUGCUAAUCUGCGAUAAGCGUCGGUAAGGUGAUAUGAACCGUUAUAACCGGCGAUUUCCGAAUGGGGAAACCCAGUGUGUUUCGACACACUAUCAUUAACUGAAUCCAUAGGUUAAUGAGGCGAACCGGGGGAACUGAAACAUCUAAGUACCCCGAGGAAAAGAAAUCAACCGAGAUUCCCCCAGUAGCGGCGAGCGAACGGGGAGCAGCCCAGAGCCUGAAUCAGUGUGUGUGUUAGUGGAAGCGUCUGGAAAGGCGCGCGAUACAGGGUGACAGCCCCGUACACAAAAAUGCACAUGCUGUGAGCUCGAUGAGUAGGGCGGGACACGUGGUAUCCUGUCUGAAUAUGGGGGGACCAUCCUCCAAGGCUAAAUACUCCUGACUGACCGAUAGUGAACCAGUACCGUGAGGGAAAGGCGAAAAGAACCCCGGCGAGGGGAGUGAAAAAGAACCUGAAACCGUGUACGUACAAGCAGUGGGAGCACGCUUAGGCGUGUGACUGCGUACCUUUUGUAUAAUGGGUCAGCGACUUAUAUUCUGUAGCAAGGUUAACCGAAUAGGGGAGCCGAAGGGAAACCGAGUCUUAACUGGGCGUUAAGUUGCAGGGUAUAGACCCGAAACCCGGUGAUCUAGCCAUGGGCAGGUUGAAGGUUGGGUAACACUAACUGGAGGACCGAACCGACUAAUGUUGAAAAAUUAGCGGAUGACUUGUGGCUGGGGGUGAAAGGCCAAUCAAACCGGGAGAUAGCUGGUUCUCCCCGAAAGCUAUUUAGGUAGCGCCUCGUGAAUUCAUCUCCGGGGGUAGAGCACUGUUUCGGCAAGGGGGUCAUCCCGACUUACCAACCCGAUGCAAACUGCGAAUACCGGAGAAUGUUAUCACGGGAGACACACGGCGGGUGCUAACGUCCGUCGUGAAGAGGGAAACAACCCAGACCGCCAGCUAAGGUCCCAAAGUCAUGGUUAAGUGGGAAACGAUGUGGGAAGGCCCAGACAGCCGGAUGUUGGCUUAGAAGCAGCCAUCAUUUAAAGAAAGCGUAAUAGCUCACUGGUCGAGUCGGCCUGCGCGGAAGAUGUAACGGGGCUAAACCAUGCACCGAAGCUGCGGCAGCGACGCUUAUGCGUUGUUGGGUAGGGGAGCGUUCUGUAAGCCUGUGAAGGUGUGCUGUGAGGUAUGCUGGAGGUAUCAGAAGUGCGAAUGCUGACAUAAGUAACGAUAAAGCGGGUGAAAAGCCCGCUCGCCGGAAGACCAAGGGUUCCUGUCCAACGUUAAUCGGGGCAGGGUGAGUCGACCCUAAGGCGAGGCCGAAAGGCGUAGUCGAUGGGAAACAGGUUAAUAUUCCUGUACUUGGUGUUACUGCGAAGGGGGGACGGAGAAGGCUAUGUUGGCCGGGCGACGGUUGUCCCGGUUUAAGCGUGUAGGCUGGUUUUCCAGGCAAAUCCGGAAAAUCAAGGCUGAGGCGUGAUGACGAGGCACUACGGUGCUGAAGCAACAAAUGCCCUGCUUCCAGGAAAAGCCUCUAAGCAUCAGGUAACAUCAAAUCGUACCCCAAACCGACACAGGUGGUCAGGUAGAGAAUACCAAGGCGCUUGAGAGAACUCGGGUGAAGGAACUAGGCAAAAUGGUGCCGUAACUUCGGGAGAAGGCACGCUGAUAUGUAGGUGAAGCGACUUGCUCGUGGAGCUGAAAUCAGUCGAAGAUACCAGCUGGCUGCAACUGUUUAUUAAAAACACAGCACUGUGCAAACACGAAAGUGGACGUAUACGGUGUGACGCCUGCCCGGUGCCGGAAGGUUAAUUGAUGGGGUCAGCGCAAGCGAAGCUCUUGAUCGAAGCCCCGGUAAACGGCGGCCGUAACUAUAACGGUCCUAAGGUAGCGAAAUUCCUUGUCGGGUAAGUUCCGACCUGCACGAAUGGCGUAAUGAUGGCCAGGCUGUCUCCACCCGAGACUCAGUGAAAUUGAACUCGCUGUGAAGAUGCAGUGUACCCGCGGCAAGACGGAAAGACCCCGUGAACCUUUACUAUAGCUUGACACUGAACAUUGAGCCUUGAUGUGUAGGAUAGGUGGGAGGCUUGGAAGUGUGGACGCCAGUCUGCAUGGAGCCGACCUUGAAAUACCACCCUUUAAUGUUUGAUGUUCUAACGUUGACCCGUAAUCCGGGUUGCGGACAGUGUCUGGUGGGUAGUUUGACUGGGGCGGUCUCCUCCUAAAGAGUAACGGAGGAGCACGAAGGUUGGCUAAUCCUGGUCGGACAUCAGGAGGUUAGUGCAAUGGCAUAAGCCAGCUUGACUGCGAGCGUGACGGCGCGAGCAGGUGCGAAAGCAGGUCAUAGUGAUCCGGUGGUUCUGAAUGGAAGGGCCAUCGCUCAACGGAUAAAAGGUACUCCGGGGAUAACAGGCUGAUACCGCCCAAGAGUUCAUAUCGACGGCGGUGUUUGGCACCUCGAUGUCGGCUCAUCACAUCCUGGGGCUGAAGUAGGUCCCAAGGGUAUGGCUGUUCGCCAUUUAAAGUGGUACGCGAGCUGGGUUUAGAACGUCGUGAGACAGUUCGGUCCCUAUCUGCCGUGGGCGCUGGAGAACUGAGGGGGGCUGCUCCUAGUACGAGAGGACCGGAGUGGACGCAUCACUGGUGUUCGGGUUGUCAUGCCAAUGGCACUGCCCGGUAGCUAAAUGCGGAAGAGAUAAGUGCUGAAAGCAUCUAAGCACGAAACUUGCCCCGAGAUGAGUUCUCCCUGACUCCUUGAGAGUCCUGAAGGAACGUUGAAGACGACGACGUUGAUAGGCCGGGUGUGUAAGCGCAGCGAUGCGUUGAGCUAACCGGUACUAAUGAACCGUGAGGCUUAACCU
RNAcentral lists this ribosomal RNA (2899 nucleotides) under Escherichia coli. Its description in RNAcentral is "23S ribosomal RNA". It matches the Rfam family "Bacterial large subunit ribosomal RNA". The record is from RNAcentral. Lineage: Bacteria; Pseudomonadati; Pseudomonadota; Gammaproteobacteria; Enterobacterales; Enterobacteriaceae.